Acanthosepion pharaonis is the source of this 99-nucleotide non-coding RNA. Lineage: Eukaryota; Metazoa; Mollusca; Cephalopoda; Sepiida; Sepiidae. The record is from the annotation of a GenBank genome assembly.
GUUGAAACACUGGUUUCUGUAUGAUCACUGAAGUUAAGCAACAUUGAGCCUAGUCAGUACCUUGAUGGGUGACCACUUGGGAAUACCAGGUGAUGUAAG